CCUUCGAUUAAGGUUCGACUCGAGCGAAAGCGAGAGAACGUUGCCAACGGCAACGGCCCGUAGGGUGAGGAGCGAAGCGACGAAUAAUCCUUCCCCCACCACCA
RNAcentral lists this small RNA (104 nucleotides) under Salmonella enterica. Its description in RNAcentral is "partial RtT sRNA". It matches the Rfam family "RtT RNA", at positions 29 to 130 of the family's 130-position model. Rfam says of the family: This family represents a bacterial cis-regulatory element known as RtT RNA. The exact function of RtT is unknown although it is thought that it may be involved in changing the cellular response in relation to amino acid starvation. Lineage: Bacteria; Pseudomonadati; Pseudomonadota; Gammaproteobacteria; Enterobacterales; Enterobacteriaceae. The record is from RNAcentral. RNAcentral also lists the same sequence under 2 other names.